UACGUAGGGGGCAAGCGUUGUCCGGAUUUAUUGGGCGUAAAGAGCGUGUAGGCGGCCAGACAGGUCCGUUGUGAAAACUCGAGGCUCAACCUCGAGACGUCGACGGAAACCGUCUGGCUCGAGUCCGGAAGAGGAGUGUGGAAUUCCUGGUGUAGCGGUGAAAUGCGCAGAUAUCAGGAAGAACACCUAUGGCGAAGGCAGCACUCUGGGACGGUACUGACGCUGAGACGCGAAAGCGUGGGGAGCGAACAGG
This 253-nucleotide ribosomal RNA is filed under the name uncultured bacterium. RNAcentral's name for it is "partial 16S ribosomal RNA". It matches the Rfam family "Bacterial small subunit ribosomal RNA", at positions 524 to 776 of the family's 1533-position model. The record is from RNAcentral.